Molecule: ribosomal RNA, 465 nt
Filed under: uncultured bacterium
Lineage: Bacteria
Description: partial 16S ribosomal RNA
Rfam family: Bacterial small subunit ribosomal RNA
Source: RNAcentral
GAUGAACGCUGGCGGCGUGCUUAACACAUGCAAGUCGAACGGAAAGGCUCCUGCUUGCAGGGGUACUCGAGUGGCGAACGGGUGAGUAACACGUGGGUGAUCUGCCCUGCACUUCGGGAUAAGCCUGGGAAACUGGGUCUAAUACCGGAUAGGACCACAUCUUGGAUGGUGUGGUGGAAAGUUUUUCGGUGUGGGAUGAGCUCCCGGCCUAUCAGCUUGUUGGUGGGGUAAUGGCCUACCAAGGCGUCGACGGGUAGCCGGCCUGAGAGGGUGUACGGCCACAUUGGGACUGAGAUACGGCCCAGACUCCUACGGGAGGCAGCAGUGGGGAAUAUUGCACAAUGGGCGCAAGCCUGAUGCAGCGACGCCGCGUGGGGGAUGACGGCCUUCGGGUUGUAAACUCCUUUCGCUAGGGACGAAGCGCAAGUGACGGUACCUGGAGAAGAAGCACCGGCUAACUACGUG